This 352-nucleotide ribosomal RNA is filed under the name uncultured bacterium. RNAcentral describes it as "partial 16S ribosomal RNA". It matches the Rfam family "Bacterial small subunit ribosomal RNA", at positions 338 to 682 of the family's 1533-position model. The record is from RNAcentral.
CCUACGGGAGGCAGCAGUGGGGAAUAUUGCGCAAUGGGCGAAAGCCUGACGCAGCGACGCCGCGUGAGGGAUGAAGGUCUUCGGAUCGUAAACCUCUGUCAGCAGGGAAGAACGGUCACGGAGCUAAUCAGCAGUGAAUUGACGGUACCGGCAAAGGAAGCACCGGCUAACUCCGGGCCAGCAGCCGCGGUAAUACGGAGGGUGCGAGCGUUAAUCGGAAUUACUGGGCGUAAAGCGCGCGUAGGCGGUAUGUCAAGUCAAGGGUGAAAUCCCCGCGCUCAACGUGGGAACUGCCUUUGAAACUGGCAAACUGUAGUGUGUGCGAGGAUAGUGGACUUCCAGGUGUAGGCGU